RNAcentral lists this ribosomal RNA (433 nucleotides) under uncultured bacterium. RNAcentral's name for it is "partial 16S ribosomal RNA". It matches the Rfam family "Bacterial small subunit ribosomal RNA", at positions 29 to 507 of the family's 1533-position model. The record is from RNAcentral.
AACGAACGCUGGCGGCAUGCCUAACACAUGCAAGUCGAACGAGACCUUCGGGUCUAGUGGCGCACGGGUGCGUAACGCGUGGGAACCUGCCCUUAGGUUCGGAAUAACUCCCCGAAAGGGGUGCUAAUACCGGAUAAUGUCUUCGGGCCAAAGAUUUAUCGCCUUUGGAUGGGCCCGCGUUGGAUUAGCUAGUUGGUAGGGUAAAAGCCUACCAAAGCGACGAUCCAUAGCUGGUCUGAGAGGAUGAUCAGCCACACUGGGACUGAGACACGGCCCAGACUCCUACGGGAGGCAGCAGUGGGGAAUAUUGGACAAUGGGCGAAAGCCUGAUCCAGCAAUGCCGCGUGAGUGAUGAAGGCCUUAGGGUUGUAAAGCUCUUUUACCCGGGAUGAUAAUGACAGUACCGGGAGAAUAAGCUCCGGCUAACUCCGUG